Long non-coding RNA from Perognathus longimembris pacificus (Pacific pocket mouse), 235 nucleotides. RefSeq lists it as uncharacterized. The transcript has 3 exons. The record is from RefSeq and is a predicted model, not a curated record. NCBI's taxonomy places the organism in Eukaryota, Metazoa, Chordata, Mammalia, Rodentia, Heteromyidae.
GGUGAUAAAGAAGGCUAGUGAAAGAAAACUAUGGACCAAAUAAAUAAAUUGGUGGCCAUGAAUUCUAUUAAUAUGAGAAUCCCAUUGUAAGAACUCAAAAACCUAGCAAAGAUUCUUCUGGAAGCUUGCUAUAACCAGAAAAAGGACAAAUCAUCACAGUGAUUGAGUAGUAUCAACUUGGAACACAGCUGGUAUUCAUGUAUUUCAAGUAUGGGCCUACAUCACAGCACAGAAC